AGCGAACGCUGGCGGCAGGCUUAACACAUGCAAGUCGAGCGGGCAUCCUUGUGGUGUCAGCGGCAGACGGGUGAGUAACGCGUGGGAACGUGCCCUUCGGUUCGGAAUAACUCAGGGAAACUUGAGCUAAUACCGGAUACGUUCCAGAGCAGAAAGGUUUAUCUGCCGAAGGAUCGGCCCGCGUCUGAUUAGCUAGUUGGUGAGGUUAUGGCUCACCAAGGCGACGAUCAGUAGCUGCUCGGAGAGGAUGAUCAGCCACACUGGGACUGAGACACGGCCCAGACUCCUACGGGAGGCAGCAGUGGGGAAUAUUGGACAAUGGGGGCAACCCUGAUCCAGCCAUGCCGGGGGAGUGAUGACGGCCUUAGGGUUGUAAAGCUCUUUUCUCCGGGACGAUAAUGACGGUACCGGAGGAAUAAGCCCCGGCUAACUUCGUG
This 437-nucleotide ribosomal RNA is filed under the name uncultured bacterium. Its description in RNAcentral is "partial 16S ribosomal RNA". It matches the Rfam family "Bacterial small subunit ribosomal RNA", at positions 29 to 507 of the family's 1533-position model. The record is from RNAcentral.